UUCCAUUGCAUAUAUACCACAUCUUCUUUAUCCGUUGAUUUGCUGAUGGACACCGAAGUUGCUUCCAUGUCUUGGCAAUUGGAAUUAAUGCUGCUAUGACCACUGGGAUGCAUAUGUCUUUUUGAAUUAGUGCGUUUUUAAUAGUCCCAGGAGUGUGGAUCAUAUGGUUGUUCUAUUUUUAGUGUUUUGAGGACAUACUUCAUUCAUUCUUAUCCACUGUGUGGAUUGACCACAUCUUAUUUAUCUAUUCAUCAGUUGACACAUUCUGGGAGGAUCUUAGUACCAGUGUGAGCUGAACUUGAAACCCAUAGACACAAGUAACUUGUUCCCUUUCCUGAUAACUUUGCUAACGUGACACAAUUGGUGCUUGAGGAAGAUGUCUGUGCAGGGCGGGCCUGUGAAGACGAGGUGGGUGGGGAGCAGAAUGGGGCAUGAUGGGGUCUGGAACUUCCUUCUACUAAGGAGGAGAGAAAGUUGAAGCCCCUCCCCGGGAAUCUCUGUGCAAGGACUAAGCCUGAGCUCGGUCUGCAGCUCUGUCCAUCAAGCCGUAAAGCCACAGGCUGAAGAGCACGCUCAUUCUGGGGGUGGGAGGGAGCCCAGGGCUGGGGUAACCUUUGUCUCCGAUUUCUCCCAGAAGCUCUGCUGAGAACCAGCUGACCACUGGUUCCUGGAAUGUGCGUGACUGUCGCUGCCUCUUGCUCAACAAUCCGCCAAAUCCUGUUAGGGAGAUGAGUGAUGCAGCUGUCCUCGUUUGUCAGGGCCCGCGCCGCACAGAGGCCCAUUGCUGCGUGUGCGGGGUGGGCGGGGGGCCUGCCAAGGCACCUGUGAGCCACCCUGACAAUGAGCUGUCUCAGCUCAGCUUGGCUGGGGAGGCCCUGGGGGUGCAGCCCAUCCCCUGCACGCCCUGCACUGAGUCAGAGCUGAGAGCUGGGGACAAAGCAGGACAGAGGCCGGAGCACAGCUGAGUGUCCGUUCCCGGCCAGGUGCAGAUGCAGCCCAGGUCCCUGGCCCCUGCAAGUGUGUGAGUGUGAGUGUGUGUGCGGGGCUGGGGCUGGGACCGUCCACAGAGGAGACCGUCUAGAGGGUGGGGCUGCCCUCCCUGGAGCCCGAGGACCUGUCGCUGGGACCCCCCACCAGCAGCCUCAGCACCCGGGGGGUCAGAGCACAGCGAGCACCGACCAGAGGAGCCCCGAGGAGCCACGGGGUGAGUGAAGCUCUGGAUGGACUGGGUGCGGCUGGGCUGGGAGAGACGGGCAGAAGCCGGGACCCGCAGAGAGAGCCCCGAACUUCCCGCCCCUUCCGCUUGUGGUGCGCAGUGGCCACGCCCCUUUCCCGGGUCCUGGGGGCAGAUGUCACCCAAGAGGGGCCGCAAAGGUGGAAGGAUAGAGGCAAGUUUAUGGCCAACGGAGUUUCCCCGAGGAGGGCAGUGGGUGGUCGUCCAAUGUCCAAGGCAGGACAGUGCGGGCCCCAGCCAGUGGUGGGGGUUCUCAGACCCCCAGCUCAUGCUGCCAGGGAGGAGGGGAGGCAGAGGGAGGGGUCUGGACGAGACACAAGCCCAGCUUUCACUCCCAGGUGCCCCCUCCCGAUGGCCAGGGCCCUGGGGAAGCGCUGGAAUAAACACCCGUGGGCCUUGGAAUGCGCGGAGGCAGGAGGUGCUGUCACCUGAUGGGCCUUUCAGAGACCCGAGGCCGAGUCCCGGAUCCUGGUGCACUUGCCGCUGCCGGUCACCCUCCUCCUAGCCUUCUGCCUCCUCCGGGUGGUGGCGGGUCCCUGCCUCAUGUCCCAGCGGGAGCCUCUGAGGCCGGCUGGACCCCUUACCGCCUACAGCCUGGGCCUGGUGACCCUCUCGGGGUACGUGUUCUAUGAGUGAAAGUGUAGAGGCCAAGAGCAGGAUCCAUUCUCCACCUCACACCCGAAAGAACCACCCCCACUCCUGUUUCUACCUGGGCUCCAGUAACCUCGGCCCUGUUUUCUGAGCCCUGAACCCACUAAUCCUUCCAGAUGCCUUGUUCUCAGCAAACAGUCAGCCAGCGCGCACUGGGCGUGCGCUUCGGGCCCGGCGGUGCUGGACCCGCAGUGUCCCCGCUGUGGAAGGCACACCAGUCCUCCAGGUGCUCACGGUCCGGAGGGGAUGCUGAUACAGGCAACUGCGUGUCAAUGCGAGCAGGGCGGCAGAAAGUACUUGGGACGGGGCAGGGACCCAGCUGCAGUGUCGGGGAAAGCUUUGCAGAGAACGUGGUCUGACACUUACAGCGGUCCUCACGGCGAGGCAGUGCGCUGCGCCCUUCGCGAGGAUCUGCUCAUCCCAUCCUCCUGACAGCUGUCACGAGGCACAGAGCAGGUAAGUACCUUAGCAGGUGGCCAGGCACCCUGACCUGAAGAGCUCACCUCCGUCCCUCCAGCCUCUGUACCCAAGCCGGGACCAGAUAGGCAGCUCCGCCGGCUCCACCAGCUGGCGGGUUCUAGAAAUGCGGCCCGUGUCUCCCCAGCUCCCAGACUUGUUUUGAAAUCAACCAUAGUGGGAGGCUUUACACCCUAAGAAUGGGCAAAUCGCCCCCUGCCGCCACCUGAAAGGCAGUUAAGCACGUAGCACCCCGACUCUGGGCUCUCCCCUGUUUCACGAUGCGCAUGUCUGGCUCCCCUCCAAACUGGCACGUGCUUCAAAGGCAGGACCGUGUCUUUCUUCUCUUUGUAAAGACAGGCUCCACUUCGUGUCUGGUAGCACGUGGAAGACGUGACAACUUGUGAGGCAUGAGACAUGCCCUGCAGGAACUGUCAUUUCUUUUUCUUUUUUAUCUUGUUUUGUUUUGGUUUUGGAUUUUUGGGGGGCGGAGGUAAUUCGGUUUUUUAUUAUUAUUGUUUAAUGGAGGUCCUGGGGCUUGAGCGCAGGGCCUCGUGCACGCCAAGCAAGCACCCCGCCACUGAGCUGUACCCUCCCCCGCCGAGCUUGCCAUUUACUCAUGGUGACACCUGACCCUGCAGCCACCAUGAUCCUUUGAAAGUCUGUGGUGCCCGUGUAGGCUUCCUGCUCAGAAGCCCUCAGUGUCUCCCUUUGCCAACGACCGGCAUGCAGAGUCCCUCCAGGCAGGGAUGUGUAUCUGUUUUGUUAUUGAAGUGGCUCGGGGCUCAGAGCAGGACCCAGUGUGGAGAAGCACUUAGCACCAUUCAAUGCAUCAUUAUCAAAUGAAUAAGUAAGGGAUAAAGUUCAGGCUCCUUAAAACAGCCUGCAGGACCCCGUGUCAGUCAAUUCCGAGCCCUCUCUCUGCCCCUGUGGCUGCCCCUCUCCUGGCAGGUGCCUCCGCCGCACCCCACUGAUCCCCGGCAGCCCCGGGGAGCUAGGAGAGGUCCAGACACUCUCCUCCCAGCGCGGAAAUCCCUCGCCCUCCCCUCCGGUCACCCAUGGCCUCCUCAUUCCCAGGCCACUGCCGAAUUUCGGAGCGGCUCCUGUUUCCUACUCUUCAUCUGACCCCAUCCUUGGAAGUGAGGGUGGUCUCCUGCCUCCUCAGGGGGCUCUCGGCUUCUCCAGGGCAGGGCUGGUAGGUGUAGGGCUCCAGGUCCCCUCCUGACUUAGGGUCUCACACACAGUAAGUGCCCCGUGUGGGUUUGGGGUCCACAUUUGCCCACCCCAGCAAGAUAUGUGCAAGUCCCAGCCCCCAAUCCAGCCACUCCGUGGAGUUUAUCUGAUGGGCAAUUGCUCACCAAGCGUUGGUGAGGGUUUGGUGGGGCUGGGGGACGUCAGUGUCCAGAAUGUGACAGGAAGAGGCGUCAGCCUCUCGAGCCUUCAGCCAGCCAGGCCCCACCACGGUGGGGGUGGGACAGGCUUCAGGACUUGCUCUUUUCCUGGUCUCUUCCUCCUAAUUCAUAGCCACCUCGCUCCUAGCCAACUACAGCUACUUCUGCCAGCUGGUGGACUACAGCCGAGCGAGCUCGGGAUAAGGAUGGCGAGCGUGUGCUGAUGGUGCCUCUUCUCAAAGGCCACUGACAGGGUGAGUGGGUGAGUGCCUGUCGCUUAAAUGAAAUUGCCUCCAUCAGCUGGGUCCGGGUGGUUUUGAAGGCUCUUUGUGUGAACACGUCCCUGUAGCGUUCCUCUCGGCCACACCUGAGGCUGCUGUCAGAGCCAACCCUUGAUCCCAGGACCUGGAGGAAGACGGAUGCUCAUGGAUGAAGCAUUUGUUCCCUUUAGCAACCAGGUUCCAGGUUCAGUGAAACUGGGAGGCUAAACAAAUUUUAGAAACCCUGAGAUUAGGUGGCAAAGGCCAUCUUUAAGUGCGAUGAGAAGAGGCCCUGCUCGUGGAUCUAGAAGGCUUGCGGGAUUGUGUGGGGCGGGGCAAGGUCAAGAUUUUGGAAUAGUGGUGAAGGUAGAAGCUUCUUUCAUAUCAAUCUCUUGCCAAAAUGGAGUCUAAACAGAGAAACUUUGGGAAUUUUUUUAUGGUUGUCUGGGCCCUGGGCUGGGGUUCAACCCCUGAGUUCUCUCCCCAGUGCCUGAGGUGGGGGGGCAGUAAUAUUGGAAGGAUCCCAGUCUCUGAAGCUGGGCUGUGUUCAAAUCCCAGCUUGGCUUCACAUUAGGGGUAUCACCCUGAACGAGUUACUUGAGCUCUGUGCCUCGGUUUUGCCAUCUGUAAAAUGGAGAUGAGUAUAAACCACACGCCAUUGUGUUUGUAUGAUUUUUUAUACACACAAGCUACCCGGCACACAGCAGGUGCUGCACGGGCAUCUGCAUGGUGUUGCUUUCCUUGGCUGUCAGCCUCCCUGUCAGCAAAACAGGACGCAUCACCCUAUCCUUGGUUGUUGAGGCUGCAGGAGAAGCGUCUGGAGGAAUAAGACUCAGACGUGGCACUCCUUUUUUCCUCCCCAGGUCUUCUUUAUUUUACAAAAGAAGCCAGAGUAGGUCACCUUCCUGCAUGUCUACAGCCAUGGCACCAUGCUCUUCAACCGGUGGGCUGCAGUCAAAUAUGUGCUGGGGGGUCACGGGUCAGCUCGUGGCCAUUGCUGUCCACUCCUCCUACAGUCUCUUUGCCUUGUGCCCCUUCCCCGAUGGGUUCAACAUGACUGUCCUCCUCUACACCCCCAGCCUCAUCACCCUUUUCCUCGACUUCUACCACCAGACAUAUCUGAGGGGCAAGAGGGAGAAGCUGGCUUAAGGGGUGGGACCGAGGACUGAAACCAGCAGAGAGGUCGGUGGAAGACGGCCCUACUCGCAGCCCACCGAGCUGAGCAGGCUCCCCUGGGCUGGUGUUUCAUCCUACGAGGGGAGGAGGAGACUUUCCUUCUUUCCAGAGGUCAGGAGGAUGAAAACAGACCCACCUUCCUGAACCUACUGUUGUUACGGCCUUUCUCAGGUGGAGUUGUUACUGCGUGUCUGCCUCCUUCCUCAGCUAGACCUGAGCCCCUCACAGGAGGACCUGUCUUACUCCAUUGUCCCCACACUGGCACAACGAUUUUCAAUAAAUGUACAUUUGGAUCCUUGUCUUCCCCCACUAGCAGUCGUGGCCUCUGGUGAGGAGCGGGCUGGCAGCCUGGCUGGGAGCAUAGAAGAAGUCAAGGCUGGCUUGAUCCCUCACCUUGCAGGGCAAGAUGAUGACUGAGAAAAUCCAAGAAUGAGUGUGGGUCUGUGUGAUUUCUAGCUUGGCUGUGUAAACAGUUCCCCUACACACCUCUCUGUCUCUUCACUAGUGCCUAUGUACGCAUUUACAGAGGUGUGUGAUUCUGUGUGUGUGAAUGGGGCGGCAAAGAGGGCUAUGACUAUACAUCUGAACACUUGUUCUCAAAUACACCCAUGUGUUUCCAUUUA
Non-coding RNA from Vicugna pacos (alpaca), 5791 nucleotides. The record is from RefSeq and is a predicted model, not a curated record. NCBI's taxonomy places the organism in Eukaryota, Metazoa, Chordata, Mammalia, Artiodactyla, Camelidae.